UCGAACGCGAAAGUCCCCUUCGGGGGAUGAGUAGAGUGGCGCACGGGUGAGUAACACGUAGGUAAUUUGCCUUCGGGUGGGGAAUAACAGCCGGAAACGGCUGCUAAUACCGCAUAAUGCAGCGGCACCACAUGGUGACAGUUGUUAAAGCGGGGGAUCCUUCGGGACCUCGCGCCGGAAGAGAAGCCUGCGGCGGAUUAGCUAGUUGGUAGGGUAACGGCCUACCAAGGCUUCGAUCCGUAGCCGGCCUGAGAGGGCGGUCGGCCACACUGACACUGACAUACGGGUCAGACUCCUACGGGAGGCAGCAGUCGGGAAUUUUGGCAAUGGCCGAAAGCCUGACCCACCAACGCCGCGUGAAGGAUGAAAUCCCUCGGGAUGUAAACUUCGCAAGAACAGGAAGAAUAAGUGGGGGACAAUACCCCCCAUGAUGACGGUACUGUUUGUAAGCUCCGGCUAACUCCGUGCCAGCAGCCGCGGUAAUACGGGGGGGGCAAGCGUUGUUCGGAUUUACUGGGCGUAAAGGGCGCGUAGGCGGCUCUACAAGUCACUUGUGAAAUCUCCGGGCUUAACUCGGAAAGGUCAAGUGAUACUGUCGAGCUAGAGUGCGGAAGGGGCAACUGGAAUUCUCGGUGUAGCGGUGAAAUGCGUAGAUAUCGAGAGGAACACCUGCGGCGAAGGCGGGUUGCUGGGCCGACACUGACGCUGAG
RNAcentral lists this ribosomal RNA (710 nucleotides) under uncultivated soil bacterium clone S117. RNAcentral's name for it is "bacterial SSU rRNA". It matches the Rfam family "Bacterial small subunit ribosomal RNA", at positions 62 to 750 of the family's 1533-position model. The record is from RNAcentral.